Molecule: long non-coding RNA, 2907 nt
Organism: Alligator mississippiensis (American alligator)
Lineage: Eukaryota; Metazoa; Chordata; Crocodylia; Alligatoridae
Exons: 5
Source: RefSeq, a predicted model, not a curated record
UCAAACACAAAAACCCCUUUUUUCCCAACAAGGUCUACUUAUGCUCCAUUACAGAAAAUACAUGUCCCAAAAGAAGACAGUAUCUCUCAAGAAGUCAUUCUGCCUGUUCUAAUGCUGGUUACAACACAAUCCAAGAGGCCUUGAGAGGGAACAAGAGAGGAAGGACUGCUGAUAAAAUGUAGGUCAAAUGAGCUAAUAGAACAUAGUGGUAAUUCUAGAGAGUUGCAAGCAGAACAGGUGAAAAAAGCAACUGAUGGCAAUUAAGAACUAAUUGUUAACCACCGGUAAUUUUAUCAGUCACACUGAGCUAGAUAGCACUGGAGACUGAGAAAACAAGAGUAGAAAGAUUUUUUCUACUCUGUAGCAGCGGUUGGCUGUGUGUUUGAGACUGAGGGACCAUUACAGACUGCCAAGACAUGGGUGAUUUCUAUGCUGCCAAGCCCAAGAUGUUCUUCUGAUCUGUGGCCAGCCAGCCAGAAAAAUGUCAUGGAGUGAAUAUUCUCAGGAACAUGAAUUAAACUACAGCAUAAGGAAGAUACACUGUUACAAUGCCAUUUGGAGGAUGUGUUUCUGUUGGACAUCCUCCAGACUGCACUAUGAUACCAGGAGGUGGUUCAAGCCAGUAUCAUACAUUAAAGGCCACAUCUUCAAGCGAGUGGUGCUGCAAGUUGACUAAAGUUCCGGCAAUGUGCCUGCUAUAAAUAUCCCUGUGCUAUAGAGCUCAAAGAGAUACUUUUCUUGAGCACUUAGACCACUAUCUUCCAUGGUGCCCUUUUUCUAGAAGUAAACCUGACCUAUAAAGAGGAAAAGAGGCUCUCAAGGAGGGGUUAUAGGAUAUGACAAAGGGCAAUCUGCAAAAAUCUGUGGUCAAGCAGGAACAACUUGCUGAAUAAACAUUUACAACAGAUGGGCUCAAAGACGUCUUUGUGAAGCUUCUCAUGUGGUGAAACCAGUUCUGAAGAGAGAAAAACAGGAACCCUAGAUUCAGACUGUGGACUCGCACAUCUCGACAAACAUCUCGAUGGAUUGGAAUUAGAGUGGAUUAUCAGACUUCUUCUGUUUCGGCUUCAUGAUCUAGCAGCUGUUCCAGUACCAUGGCUCCUGGGGAACUCCUCUCUCCGUCAUCAGCUCCUGCUGGCUCUUGAUAUGGAAGAAUAUGCAUUACCUCACUAUGUUCAGGCCGUAGGAGCCACAGGAGGAAGGAACAGGCAAAGGGACCGAAUUCCACCCCGUGAACAAGGGACUCAGAGUGGCAGCUGGAGUGAAGAAGACCCGAGAUUCUGCAUCAGGAAUCACAUAAAUUCUGGGACCUUUUCUAUCUUUGUUUGUGGCUUGAAGAAUACUGUCUCAGGGUGGGCCGAACCCUGGGUGAGCCAUUUUUGUUUUGAGCCACGCAGGUGUCUAUGUUUUGGGUAAAUGUUGUUCUGGUGGUCCACAUUGUGGCUGUAGGUGAGACAGAGGCCAGUGAAUGUGCUUGGGAGACACCCCAAAUUUGAAACAUGAUUGAGAAGAUAGAAACUGGGGGAUAGGCUCCAAGCCCAGAAGGCAAAGCCUGUCAGGGACUAAAAAGUAGUGGCAGAACUCAGGGCAAUUACCCUUUGAGCCCAAAGCUUGUGCUCCUAAAUAGUGGGCUCCAAGCUAGAGGUACAGCUAGAGUAAAAGUGGGAUGAGGCCAGGAGAGCCCUGGCCCAGACAAGGGUCUGGCUCCCAAAGGUCCCCUCACCCACGGGCAGCCUUCCCUGUCAGUUUGUUCCAUCAAGUCAUGGCAGGUGAGGAUACUGAUAGGAAGAGCCAGAAGGGAUGAUGAGAGCUAGUGGGAAGAGUCUCUAAAGUCAGGUACCUAGUGUACCAAAUGCUGUGGGUGGCAUACAUUACCAUUUUCACAUCUCAAGAAAUUUCUUUGGAGCCUAAUGGUAAUUGAAAAGAGUAAAAAUGGUUCUGCUGAGUAUAUAAUGUCUGAAAGUACUACUUUCAGGCCCCCCUCUACAUUUUACAGGUAUUGUGCAACUAACCUUGAGACCAGUUACAUGUGCAAAAUAUUUAUCUCACAAUAAAAAUUUCCAGCAAGCUAUAAAGUUAGACCUCAAAAAUGUGUACAGCUGGUUACUAUUGAUCUUUAAUUUGCAUGUGUAGCAGGAUCUCCCCUGUGGCUGGGAGCCCUAUCAGGUGUGGGCUCCCAGCCACAGGAGUGCACCUAGGCAAGCUGGGGCUGCAAGUCCUGCAAUUGCUUGGGACACUCAGCCCCAGCAGCUGCCAACUCUGGGUCAUGCCAGGACCCUGCAGCUUCCGGGACAUAGAUGCAGAUGCAGCUACUAUCUCCCAGACCUAGGGGUGUGUGAAAUCCCCAGGAUGGGGGGGAUCACCAUAGGUGAGUGGGCUCCCAACCAUGAGAGCUUUGUUUUUGCCAGUGCAGGGGAACCCUGAACUGGCAAUAAGGCAUGUUUGGAUCUAAUUUGCAAUCCCACAAUUGUACCUUCUGCCCUGCCCAUGUGGCACAGCAUGAGGUGUGACUGUGGGAAUUGCACAAUAGAUCCCAUCAUGCCUUUACCUGCACGUGUAGAGGGGGCCCGAGUUUGUUCCACAUGCCACAGCAAAUUGUGCUAUCUGAAAACUACUUAGUUAUUCCUUUACAUCCCUAAACAACUUGAUCUUUUGCCCUGAGCUAAUCUCUCCCUCUUACUUGGUGAAGAGACAGGAAAAGUAAUCAUUUAGCAGCAUUUUUAUUUCUAGCACUUACCACCAUUAUCAUAAGUAGCCCAAUGGGGUUUUUAAAAUCUUUCUUGCUCUCUGACCCAGCUGAUUUUAACUCUGAUAUCCACAACUUUUGUAUCAAACAGGCAAGAAUGAAAGAAUGCUGUAUAUGGAUUAGUUUAGUAGUACUAUUAUUAAAUGAGUUGCUAAUGGUAA